Molecule: ribosomal RNA, 491 nt
Filed under: uncultured bacterium
Lineage: Bacteria
Description: partial 16S ribosomal RNA
Rfam family: Bacterial small subunit ribosomal RNA
Source: RNAcentral
UAGGGAAUCUUCCACAAUGGACGCAAGUCUGAUGGAGCAACGCCGCGUGAGUGAAGAAGGUCUUCGGAUCGUAAAGCUCUGUUGUUGGUGAAGAAGGAUAGAGGUAGUAACUGGUCUUUAUUUGACGGUAAUCAACCAGAAAGUCACGGCUAACUACGUGCCAGCAGCCGCGGUAAUACGUAGGUGGCAAGCGUUGUCCGGAUUUAUUGGGCGUAAAGCGAGCGCAGGCGGAAUGAUAAGUCUGAUGUGAAAGCCCACGGCUCAACCGUGGAACUGCAUCGGAAACUGUCAUUCUUGAGUGCAGAAGAGGAGAGUGGAACUCCAUGUGUAGCGGUGGAAUGCGUAGAUAUAUGGAAGAACACCAGUGGCGAAGGCGGCUCUCUGGUCUGCAACUGACGCUGAGGCUCGAAAGCAUGGGUAGCGAACAGGAUUAGAUACCCUGGUAGUCCAUGCCGUAAACGAUGAGCGCUAGGUGUUGGGGACUUUCCGGU